Sceloporus undulatus (fence lizard) is the source of this 1337-nucleotide long non-coding RNA. RefSeq lists it as uncharacterized. The transcript has 4 exons. Lineage: Eukaryota; Metazoa; Chordata; Lepidosauria; Squamata; Phrynosomatidae. The record is from RefSeq and is a predicted model, not a curated record.
GGGAAAGGGAGGAGGGUUCUUCUGAGGCAGCAGGGCUUCAGGCCUAGUCUGCAGGAGGCUUAUGGACACACACACAUAACACACACAACACACAGAAGGCAAAGCCUCAGCCUCAAGCAACACACUGCAUUGUGGUGGCUUCCACACCAUUGUGUGAGUGACACACUCCUUAGCUUCCCUCCUGGCAGCUGAGGGGAACAGAUUGUUUCACUGACACACACAACACACACACACACAUUAUUGACACACACACAUAUAUAACACACACAGCAAGGACUCCACCUCAGAAGCAACACUGCAUUGUGGUGGCUUCCACACCAUUGUGUAGGUGACACACUCCUUGGCUUCCCUCUUGGCAGGUGAGGGAAACUAAUGGUAUUAUUGAUACACAUACACAACACACACAACUAGACCACAGGCUCAGAAGUGCUACGCUGUUGUUGUGGUGACUUCCUCACCAUUGUGUUUGGUGACUCCUUGGCCUCCCUUCUGGCAAGAGAAACAAAUGGCAUCAUUGAUACACAUACACAACACACACAGAUACACCAAGGCCUUGUGUCAUUAUUGACACACACAUACACACACACACGGCAGGGCCUCUGCCUCAGAAGCAACCCACUGACUUAUGGUGGCUCCUUUGCCAUUGUGUUGGUGACACUCCUUGGCUUCACUUUGGAACGUUUCCAAUAUGGACCUUUGCUGCUGGAAGCCUAGACUGACCACACAGCCUCUGAUCCAUUCCUUAUCAAAGGGAAAGAAAAUAGGGUUUUGGGGAUCCUACAAAAGUCCAGGAAGAGGAGAAAGUUAGAUACAUCAAUCUUAAACCUAUCGCUAUGUGAGGAAUGCACAUUAGAGUCAAGACUGCUCCAUGAUGCUGGGCAAACUAAAAACAGGACAAUAAAACCCUCAAUGCAAGUAUCGCACAACAUUUGGGAUCUGGAUAUCAUCAGGACCAUCCAUGGACUCAUUGUUAUGUUCAGAAGUUCAUCUGAAGCCCUGCUCCAUAUUCUGCCAGUAACCAAGGCAUUGUGAGUGGGUAAGCAAGGUCUUCUCAUUCUCUGAACGUUUUGUCCCAGAACAUCCCUCCCUCUCUGCCUUUAGAAACCAGAGUAAGGUGCUGUUAUUUCAUCAUCAUCAUCAACAUCAUCAUUACUUAUACCUCGCUCUUUGGCCAAGGCAUGCUCUUAGACUGUAAUAACUGGUCCUCUUACAAGGACCUGUUCCUGGUUUGGUGGCUCACUUCCAAAUUUUGCUCUAUGGUUUGAAAUUAUGAAUUCUACGUUUUUAAUCUGCUUCUGUGUCUGAUUAUUUUGUGAGCAGCCUCAAACCUCCGCAAA